GACGAACGCUGGCGGCGUGCUUAACACAUGCAAGUCGAACGGAAAGGCCCCUUUGGGGGUCCUCGAGUGGCGAACGGGUGAGUAACACGUGAGUAACCUGCCCUUGACUUCGGGAUAACUUCAGGAAACUGGGGCUAAUGCCGGAUAGGAAUCCUUGCUGCAUGGUGGGGGUUGGAAAGCUUCGGCGGUUUUGGAUGGACUCGCGGCUUAUCAGCUUGUUGGUGGGGUAGUGGCUUACCAAGGCUUUGACGGGUAGCCGGCCUGAGAGGGCGACCGGCCACAUUGGGACUGAGAUACGGCCCAGACUCCUACGGGAGGCAGCAGUGGGGAAUAUUGCACAAUGGGCGGAAGCCUGAUGCAGCAACGCCGCGUGCGGGAUGACGGCCUUCGGGUUGUAAACCGCUUUCAGCAGGGGCGAAGCUUGUGGUGACGGUACCUGCAGAAGAAGCACCGGCUAACUACGUG
Molecule: ribosomal RNA, 465 nt
Filed under: uncultured bacterium
Lineage: Bacteria
Description: partial 16S ribosomal RNA
Rfam family: Bacterial small subunit ribosomal RNA
Source: RNAcentral